AACGAACGCUGGCGGCAGGCCUAACACAUGCCAGUCGAGCGCCCCGCCAGGGGAGCGGCGGACGGGUGAGUAACGCGUGGGAACGUACCCUUUGCUACGGAAUAGCCUCGGGAAACUGGGAGUAAUACCGUAUGUGUCCUUCGGGAGAAAGAUUUAUCGGCAAGGGAUCGGCCCGCGUUGGAUUAGGUAGUUGGUGGGGUAAUGGCCUACCAAGCCGACGAUCCAUAGCUGGUUUGAGAGGAUGAUCAGCCACACUGGGACUGAGACACGGCCCAGACUCCGACGGGAGGCGGCAGGGGGGAUUCUUAGCAAAGGGGCGCAGGCCUGAUCUCGCCUUGCGGGGUGAGGAAGGAAGCCUUUAGGGUUGAAAAGCCCUUUGGGGGGGAAAGAUAAUGACGGCCCCCAAAAAAGAAGCCCCGGCUAACUCCGGG
This 431-nucleotide ribosomal RNA is filed under the name uncultured bacterium. RNAcentral's name for it is "partial 16S ribosomal RNA". It matches the Rfam family "Bacterial small subunit ribosomal RNA", at positions 29 to 507 of the family's 1533-position model. The record is from RNAcentral.